Molecule: transfer RNA, 87 nt
Filed under: Hyphomicrobium sp.
Lineage: Bacteria; Pseudomonadati; Pseudomonadota; Alphaproteobacteria; Hyphomicrobiales; Hyphomicrobiaceae
Also listed under: 1 other name
Description: tRNA-Leu
Rfam family: tRNA
About the family: Transfer RNA (tRNA) molecules are approximately 80 nucleotides in length. Their secondary structure includes four short double-helical elements and three loops (D, anti-codon, and T loops).
Source: RNAcentral
GCGGUUGUGGCGGAAUUGGUAGACGCACUACCUUGAGGUGGUAACGCUGGAAACGGCGUGGAGGUUCGAGUCCUCUCAACCGCACCA